Molecule: ribosomal RNA, 253 nt
Filed under: uncultured bacterium
Lineage: Bacteria
Description: partial 16S ribosomal RNA
Rfam family: Bacterial small subunit ribosomal RNA
Source: RNAcentral
UACGGAGGGUGCAAGCGUUAUCCGGAUUCACUGGGUUUAAAGGGUGCGUAGGUGGGUUGGUAAGUCAGUGGUGAAAUCUCCGUGCUUAACAUGGAAACUGCCAUCGAUACUACUGGUCUUGAAUUUUCCGGAGGUAAGCGGAAUAUGUCAUGUAGCGGUGAAAUGCUUAGAUAUGACAUAGAACACCAAUUGCGAAGGCAGCUUACUACAGGGACAUUGACACUGAGGCACGAAAGCGUGGGGAUCAAACAGG